AAUCCAUAGGUUAAUGAGGCGAACCGGGGGAACUGAAACAUCUAAGUACCCCGAGGAAAAGAAAUCAACCGAGAUUCCCCCAGUAGCGGCGAGCGAACGGGGAGGAGCCCAGAGCCUGAAUCAGCAUGUGUGUUAGUGGAAGCGUCUGGAAAGGCGCGCGAUACAGGGUGACAGCCCCGUACACAAAAGCGCAUGUGCUGUGAGCUCGAUGAGUAGGGCGGGACACGUGGUAUCCUGUCUGAAUAUGGGGGGACCAUCCUCCAAGGCUAAAUACUCCUGACUGACCGAUAGUGAACCAGUACCGUGAGGGAAAGGCGAAAAGAACCCCGGCGAGGGGAGUGAAAAAGAACCUGAAACCGUGUACGUACAAGCAGUGGGAGCACCCUUUGGGGUGUGACUGCGUACCUUUUGUAUAAUGGGUCAGCGACUUAUAUUCUGUAGCAAGGUUAACCGUAUAGGGGAGCCGGAGGGAAACCGAGUCUUAAUUGGGCGUUAAGUUGCAGGGUAUAGACCCGAAACCCGGUGAUCUAGCCAUGGGCAGGUUGAAGGUUGGGUAACACUAACUGGAGGACCGAACCGACUAAUGUUGAAAAAUUAGCGGAUGACCUGUGGCUGGGGGUGAAAGGCCAAUCAAACCGGGAGAUAGCUGGUUCUCCCCGAAAGCUAUUUAGGUAGCGCCUCGUGAAUUCAUCUCCGGGGGUAGAGCACUGUUUCGGCUAGGGGGCCAUCCCGGCUUACCAACCCGAUGCAAACUGCGAAUACCGGAGAAUGUUAUCACGGGAGACACACGGCGGGUGCUAACGUCCGUCGUGAAGAGGGAAACAACCCAGACCGCCAGCUAAGGUCCCAAAGUCAUGGUUAAGUGGGAAACGAUGUGGGAAGGCCCAGACAGCCAGGAUGUUGGCUUAGAAGCAGCCAUCAUUUAAAGAAAGCGUAAUAGCUCACUGGUCGAGUCGGCCUGCGCGGAAGAUGUAACGGGGCUAAACCAUGCACCGAAGCUGCGGCAGCGACACUCAGGUGUUGUUGGGUAGGGGAGCGUUCUGUAAGCCUG
This 1051-nucleotide ribosomal RNA is filed under the name Salmonella enterica subsp. enterica serovar Oranienburg. Its description in RNAcentral is "partial 23S ribosomal RNA". It matches the Rfam family "Bacterial large subunit ribosomal RNA", at positions 161 to 1251 of the family's 2925-position model. The record is from RNAcentral. Lineage: Bacteria; Pseudomonadati; Pseudomonadota; Gammaproteobacteria; Enterobacterales; Enterobacteriaceae.